CGAGUCUUAACCGGGCGUUAAGUUGCAGGGUAUAGACCCGAAACCCGGUGAUCUAGCCAUGGGCAGGUUGAAGGUUGGGUAACACUAACUGGAGGACCGAACCGACUAAUGUUGAAAAAUUAGCGGAUGACCUGUGGCUGGGGGUGAAAGGCCAAUCAAACCGGGAGAUAGCUGGUUCUCCCCGAAAGCUAUUUAGGUAGCGCCUCGUGAACUCAUCUCCGGGGGUAGAGCACUGUUUCGGCUAGGGGGCCAUCCCGGCUUACCAACCCGAUGCAAACUGCGAAUACCGGAGAAUGUUAUCACGGGAGACACACGGCGGGUGCUAACGUCCGUCGUGAAGAGGGAAACAACCCAGACCGCCAGCUAAGGUCCCAAAGUCAUGGUUAAGUGGGAAACGAUGUGGGAAGGCCCAGACAGCCAGGAUGUUGGCUUAGAAGCAGCCAUCAUUUAAAGAAAGCGUAAUAGCUCACUGGUCGAGUCGGCCUGCGCGGAAGAUGUAACGGGGCUAAACCAUGCACCGAAGCUGCGGCAGCGACACUCAGGUGUUGUUGGGUAGGGGAGCGUUCUGUAAGCCUGUGAAGGUGUGUCGUGAGGCAUGCUGGAGGUAUCAGAAGUGCGAAUGCUGACAUAAGUAACGAUAAAGCGGGUGAAAAGCCCGCUCGCCGGAAGACCAAGGGUUCCUGUCCAACGUUAAUCGGGGCAGGGUGAGUCGACCCCUAAGGCGAGGCCGAAAGGCGUAGUCGAUGGGAAACGGGUUAAUAUUCCCGUACUUGGUGUUACUGCGAAGGGGGGACGGAGAAGGCUAUGUUGGCCGGGCGACGGUUGUCCCGGUUUAAGCGUGUAGGUGUGUGUUCCAGGUAAAUCCGGUUCACUUUAACACUGAGGCGUGACGACGAGGCACUACGGUGCUGAAGCAACAAAUGCCCUGCUUCCAGGAAAAGCCUCUAAGCAUCAGGUAACAUCAAAUCGUACCCCAAACCGACACAGGUGGUCAGGUAGAGAAUACCAAGGCGCUUGAGAGAACUCGGGUGAAGGAACUAGGCAAAAUGGUGCCGUAACUUCGGGAGAAGGCACGCUGACACGUAGGUGAAGUGAUUUACUCAUGGAGCUGAAGUCAGUCGAAGAUACCAGCUGGCUGCAACUGUUUAUUAAAAACACAGCACUGUGCAAACACGAAAGUGGACGUAUACGGUGUGACGCCUGCCCGGUGCCGGAAGGUUAAUUGAUGGGGUCAGCGCAAGCGAAGCUCCUGAUCGAAGCCCCGGUAAACGGCGGCCGUAACUAUAACGGUCCUAAGGUAGCGAAAUUCCUUGUCGGGUAAGUUCCGACCUGCACGAAUGGCGUAAUGAUGGCCAGGCUGUCUCCACCCGAGACUCAGUGAAAUUGAACUCGCUGUGAAGAUGCAGUGUACCCGCGGCAAGACGGAAAGACCCCGUGAACCUUUACUAUAGCUUGACACUGAACAUUGAGCCUUGAUGUGUAG
RNAcentral lists this ribosomal RNA (1483 nucleotides) under Salmonella enterica. RNAcentral's name for it is "partial 23S ribosomal RNA". It matches the Rfam family "Bacterial large subunit ribosomal RNA", at positions 678 to 2141 of the family's 2925-position model. Lineage: Bacteria; Pseudomonadati; Pseudomonadota; Gammaproteobacteria; Enterobacterales; Enterobacteriaceae. The record is from RNAcentral.